GUGGCUGUGAAGAUGAAACCUAUGUACCAUCAAAUUCUGAGGCGCGUGGAGUGCCCUGACGACUACUUUCAGCCUUGUCUGAGCCAC
This 87-nucleotide small nucleolar RNA is filed under the name Chlamydomonas reinhardtii. RNAcentral describes it as "CrCD32a snoRNA". Lineage: Eukaryota; Viridiplantae; Chlorophyta; Chlorophyceae; Chlamydomonadales; Chlamydomonadaceae. The record is from RNAcentral.